RNAcentral lists this ribosomal RNA (497 nucleotides) under uncultured bacterium. RNAcentral describes it as "partial 16S ribosomal RNA". It matches the Rfam family "Bacterial small subunit ribosomal RNA", at positions 28 to 507 of the family's 1533-position model. The record is from RNAcentral.
GAUGAACGCUGGCGGCGUGCCUAAUACAUGCAAGUCGAGCGAACGGACGAGAAGCUUGCUCUUCUGAUGUUAGCGGCGGACGGGUGAGUAACACGUGGAUAACCUACCUAUAAGACUGGGAUAACUUCGGGAAACCGGAGCUAAUACCGGAUAAUAUUUUGAACCGCAUGGUUCAUAAGUGAAAGACGGUCUUGCUGUCACUUAUAGAUGGAUCCGCGCUGCAUUAGCUAGUUGGUAAGGUAACGGCUUACCAAGGCAACGAUGCAUAGCCGACCUGAGAGGGUGAUCGGCCACACUGGAACUGAGACACGGUCCAGACUCCUACGGGAGGCAGCAGUAGGGAAUCUUCCGCAAUGGGCGAAAGCCUGACGGAGCAACGCCGCGUGAGUGAUGAAGGUCUUCGGAUCGUAAAACUCUGUUAUUAGGGAAGAACAUAUGUGUAAGUAACUGUGCACAUCUUGACGCUACCUAAUCAGAAAGCCACGGCUAACUACGUG